CAUAUUACAGAAGAAAGCUCUCGACUCCGAGAUAGAACCUAGAAAUUAUAUUCUCUUCAAGAUCCAUGAAAGAGAACCUGACUGCUUGCUUUGGUCUGAGAGUUCAGACAUCUCUUCUCUUAAGAAAGUCUUCAUUUCCGUUUGCUGAGUCCUCCUGUUUUGUCAUCGCUGGGCCCUGUAAGAAGUUUGCCAGGAGGUCCCCAGAAGUAGAAGGACCAUGCUCUCUAUUCUAAGCUGGCCUUGAACUCAUGACGAAUCAGAGGAUGGCCUCAAUCUGGGAUGGACAUUUCCAGCAGAGAAAUGCUAUCUAGACCAAAGACAUUGUUUUACUAUACAGCCAACGGUUCUUUAAAUGCCCGGCAACCCUCUCUUCUCCGGUGCUUGAUGGUGUGUGUGUGAAGAAGUGUUCCUAAACACCGGCACAAAAGAGUGGGCAUACAUCAAGCAUACAAGAGGUGGAGGAGAGAGGGGGCCUUGCCGAUGCCUCAGAUGAGGUGGUGGAUGAGAAAAGCAGGGGUGGAUCAGAGUAGACACAGCACUCAAAGUCUGGUUCCAUUUCCCAGAAGUAAUCGUUCAGCUUCUACGUGGUUUGUCAUUGCCAAAGUCAAGACUCAAACCCAGGCCCUGACCACCAGAGACUGUCAGUUUUCAAGCUUAAAAA
RNAcentral lists this long non-coding RNA (661 nucleotides) under Rattus norvegicus (Norway rat). Its description in RNAcentral is "long non-coding RNA NONRATT015221". The record is from RNAcentral. Lineage: Eukaryota; Metazoa; Chordata; Mammalia; Rodentia; Muridae.